UACGGAGGGAGCUAGCGUUGUUCGGAAUUACUGGGCGUAAAGCGCACGUAGGCGGCUUUGUAAGUUAGAGGUGAAAGCCCAGUGCUCAACACUGGAACUGCCUUUAAGACUGCAUCGCUUGAAUCCAGGAGAGGUGAGUGGAAUUCCGAGUGUAGAGGUGAAAUUCGUAGAUAUUCGGAAGAACACCAGUGGCGAAGGCGGCUCACUGGACUGGUAUUGACGCUGAGGUGCGAAAGCGUGGGGAGCAAACAGG
RNAcentral lists this ribosomal RNA (253 nucleotides) under uncultured bacterium. Its description in RNAcentral is "partial 16S ribosomal RNA". It matches the Rfam family "Bacterial small subunit ribosomal RNA", at positions 524 to 776 of the family's 1533-position model. The record is from RNAcentral.